This is a long non-coding RNA of Quercus robur (English oak), 362 nucleotides long. RefSeq lists it as uncharacterized. The transcript has 3 exons. Lineage: Eukaryota; Viridiplantae; Streptophyta; Magnoliopsida; Fagales; Fagaceae. The record is from RefSeq and is a predicted model, not a curated record.
AGGUUAUUCGAAACAAGGCCUUACUGUUGCUUACUUAUUUGACCCGUGAAGCUGAGGAGAUUCAAAAAAUUGUGGUCUUUGAAGGUGCAUUUGAGAAGAUUUUCAGCAUCAUUAAAGAGGAAGGAGGUUCAGAAGGUGGUGUUGUUGUGCAGGAUUCUGAAGAUCUGGGCCUUGGGAUUGAUAGCUUCAACAACAAUCCCUGCUUCUGAACAUAUAGAGGACUAUAUAAAUGAAGAAGAUGGUUUGAAGUAACUUGAUAUCUUACUGAAAAGUAUAUAACUACACUACCUGUUCAGACUGAGUUGGAAACCAAGAUUUAUGUGAAGUUUUAUGAGCAUAUGACAGAAAUUCUAUUUUGUACA